This 1467-nucleotide ribosomal RNA is filed under the name Lactiplantibacillus plantarum. RNAcentral's name for it is "bacterial SSU rRNA". It matches the Rfam family "Bacterial small subunit ribosomal RNA". Lineage: Bacteria; Bacillati; Bacillota; Bacilli; Lactobacillales; Lactobacillaceae. The record is from RNAcentral.
GGGCCCCUUAAUUACCUGGCAGGUCGAACGAACUCUGGUAUUGAUUGGUGCUUGCAUCAUGAUUUACAUUUGAGUGAGUGGCGAACUGGUGAGUAACACGUGGGAAACCUGCCCAGAAGCGGGGGAUAACACCUGGAAACAGAUGCUAAUACCGCAUAACAACUUGGACCGCAUGGUCCGAGCUUGAAAGAUGGCUUCGGCUAUCACUUUUGGAUGGUCCCGCGGCGUAUUAGCUAGAUGGUGGGGUAACGGCUCACCAUGGCAAUGAUACGUAGCCGACCUGAGAGGGUAAUCGGCCACAUUGGGACUGAGACACGGCCCAAACUCCUACGGGAGGCAGCAGUAGGGAAUCUUCCACAAUGGACGAAAGUCUGAUGGAGCAACGCCGCGUGAGUGAAGAAGGGUUUCGGCUCGUAAAACUCUGUUGUUAAAGAAGAACAUAUCUGAGAGUAACUGUUCAGGUAUUGACGGUAUUUAACCAGAAAGCCACGGCUAACUACGUGCCAGCAGCCGCGGUAAUACGUAGGUGGCAAGCGUUGUCCGGAUUUAUUGGGCGUAAAGCGAGCGCAGGCGGUUUUUUAAGUCUGAUGUGAAAGCCUUCGGCUCAACCGAAGAAGUGCAUCGGAAACUGGGAAACUUGAGUGCAGAAGAGGACAGUGGAACUCCAUGUGUAGCGGUGAAAUGCGUAGAUAUAUGGAAGAACACCAGUGGCGAAGGCGGCUGUCUGGUCUGUAACUGACGCUGAGGCUCGAAAGUAUGGGUAGCAAACAGGAUUAGAUACCCUGGUAGUCCAUACCGUAAACGAUGAAUGCUAAGUGUUGGAGGGUUUCCGCCCUUCAGUGCUGCAGCUAACGCAUUAAGCAUUCCGCCUGGGGAGUACGGCCGCAAGGCUGAAACUCAAAGGAAUUGACGGGGGCCCGCACAAGCGGUGGAGCAUGUGGUUUAAUUCGAAGCUACGCGAAGAACCUUACCAGGUCUUGACAUACUAUGCAAAUCUAAGAGAUUAGACGUUCCCUUCGGGGACAUGGAUACAGGUGGUGCAUGGUUGUCGUCAGCUCGUGUCGUGAGAUGUUGGGUUAAGUCCCGCAACGAGCGCAACCCUUAUUAUCAGUUGCCAGCAUUAAGUUGGGCACUCUGGUGAGACUGCCGGUGACAAACCGGAGGAAGGUGGGGAUGACGUCAAAUCAUCAUGCCCCUUAUGACCUGGGCUACACACGUGCUACAAUGGAUGGUACAACGAGUUGCGAACUCGCGAGAGUAAGCUAAUCUCUUAAAGCCAUUCUCAGUUCGGAUUGUAGGCUGCAACUCGCCUACAUGAAGUCGGAAUCGCUAGUAAUCGCGGAUCAGCAUGCCGCGGUGAAUACGUUCCCGGGCCUUGUACACACCGCCCGUCACACCAUGAGAGUUUGUAACACCCAAAGUCGGUGGGGUAACCUUUUAGGAACCAGCCGCCUAAAGGGGACCCGG